This 446-nucleotide ribosomal RNA is filed under the name Pseudomonas sp. RNAcentral's name for it is "bacterial SSU rRNA". It matches the Rfam family "Bacterial small subunit ribosomal RNA", at positions 79 to 521 of the family's 1533-position model. Lineage: Bacteria; Pseudomonadati; Pseudomonadota; Gammaproteobacteria; Pseudomonadales; Pseudomonadaceae. The record is from RNAcentral.
CUUGCUUCUCUUGAGAGCGGCGGACGGGUGAGUAAUGCCUAGGAAUCUGCCUGGUAGUGGGGGAUAACGCUCGGAAACGGACGCUAAUACCGCAUACGUCCUACGGGAGAAAGCAGGGGACCUUCGGGCCUUGCGCUAUCAGAUGAGCCUAGGUCGGAUUAGCUAGUUGGUGAGGUAAUGGCUCACCAAGGCGACGAUCCGUAACUGGUCUGAGAGGAUGAUCAGUCACACUGGAACUGAGACACGGUCCAGACUCCUACGGGAGGCAGCAGUGGGGAAUAUUGGACAAUGGGCGAAAGCCUGAUCCAGCCAUGCCGCGUGUGUGAAGAAGGUCUUCGGAUUGUAAAGCACUUUAAGUUGGGAGGAAGGGCAUUAACCUAAUACGUUGGUGUCUUGACGUUACCGACAGAAUAAGCACCGGCUAACUCUGUGCCAGCAGCCGCGGU